This 500-nucleotide ribosomal RNA is filed under the name uncultured Chloroflexota bacterium. RNAcentral describes it as "bacterial SSU rRNA". It matches the Rfam family "Bacterial small subunit ribosomal RNA", at positions 381 to 896 of the family's 1533-position model. Lineage: Bacteria; Bacillati; Chloroflexota. The record is from RNAcentral.
GCCUGAUGCAGCAACGCCGCGUGUGUGAUGAAGGCCUUCGGGUCGUAAAGCACUUUUCUGGGAGAUGAGAAAGGACAGUAUCCCAGGAAUAAGUCUCGGCUAACUACGUGCCAGCAGCCGCGGUAAAACGUAGGAGGCAAGCGUUAUCCGGAUUCACUGGGCGUAAAGCGCGUGCAGGUGGCGCGGUAAGUUGGGCGUGAAAUCUCCCGGCUCAACUGGGAGAGGUCGUCCAAUACUACCGUGCUUGAGAGCAGAAGAGGAAGAUGGAAUUCCCGGUGUAGUGGUGAAAUGCGUAGAUAUCGGGAGGAACACCAGUGGCGAAGGCGAUCUUCUGGUCUGUUUCUGACACUCAGACGCGACAGCUAGGGUAGUAAACGGGAUUAGAGACCCCGGUAAUCCUAGCCGUAAACGAUGUGAACUUGGCGUUGGUGGGUUAAACUCCAUCAGUGCCGUAGCAAACGCGAUAAGUUCACCGCCUGGGGACUACGGCCGCAAGGUUA